CUGAUGAGUUAGUAUAAUAUGGUAAAUAACAACAGAUAGUCGAAAAAAGUCAGGAUUAAUAUUAAUAUCUUUCUUAUGCUUUUUGUGUGUUGUAGAUAAAAGCCAUCAUGGCGUUGGUUGUUGUCAUCCUUUUGUUGGUGAUCAUCAUACUUACAGUUGUGAAAUACCGCACUUGAUUUGAUGAGAGAGAUCUUCAUUAAACAAAAUCUGGGACAAUAAUAAUAAUAAUAAUAAUAAAAGAUUGCUGCAUAAUUUAAAUGAAACCCAUGUAUAUAACUUUCAAAACUUCUUUUCCAAGAAACUGAGCGGCAAGUAUCACUUCAAACUGGAGCAUUGAGAAUGUCCAUUAUCUUUUUCCCCUUCUAGCAAAAUGAAAAUGUGCUUUUAAUAAUUAUGUUCAAGGCCAAGACAGCCAGCCUGUUUUGCCACAUUCCAAGGAUCUGAUUUGAAACUAGAUAUUUGCUCAUUCACUAUGUGUGUCUGUAGUUCAACACUGAUACGAGACUUCCGACUGCUUCUUCAGUGGCUUAAGGACUUGGACUCUUGCAUUAAGGUGGGGGGUCAGGAAGCCUAUGUAGCUGUUCCAUCAACAUUCGGAAGAUUCUUCUCACAUUACAGUUGCUUUGCAAGCAAUUUCCACGUUUAUGGGUGUAACAAAAGCUAAGUGUUGUAAAUGCUGCUGCCUUCAGCUGUAACUAAAAACAUUCCAGUAAAUCUAUUUUUGACUGUA
This is a long non-coding RNA of Myotis lucifugus (little brown bat), 730 nucleotides long. RefSeq lists it as uncharacterized. The record is from RefSeq and is a predicted model, not a curated record. The transcript has 2 exons. NCBI's taxonomy places the organism in Eukaryota, Metazoa, Chordata, Mammalia, Chiroptera, Vespertilionidae.